Prunus avium (sweet cherry) is the source of this 463-nucleotide non-coding RNA. NCBI's taxonomy places the organism in Eukaryota, Viridiplantae, Streptophyta, Magnoliopsida, Rosales, Rosaceae. The record is from RefSeq and is a predicted model, not a curated record.
CAUACCCUUUUUAGAUAAUCAGUUGAAGUCGCCUAGCCCUCUCUUACUGCCCGCCGUGGAUGCUGUUACACCACUUUCUGAAGCAGAGGCAAUAGAUUUGGUUAAAACUGUUUUUGCAUCAGCAACAGAGAGAGAUAUAUACACUGGUGACAGGCUUGAAAUUGUCGUUCUAAAUGCUGAUGGCACUCGGUAUGAGUACAUGGAACUGAGGAAAGAUUGAUGCCUACCCAGGACAAUGCUGCCGGUUUUGACCAGAGCUGAAAAUGUCAUCUAUUCCAGGUCUCUGUGUAGGUCAUAUCUCGAAAUGGCUUGUUUAUUCUGUUGCAAAGUUUCAGUUUGUACUCAACUUCCCCUAUUACGGUGAAACAUUUAAAGCAGUUAACAGUUGAGAACCAUUUCUGUACUGAUAUUUUCUUUGUGAACAAAGUAAGUUAUCCACCCCUGCACCAUUUCUUUUAUUCCC